Molecule: long non-coding RNA, 1454 nt
Organism: Scophthalmus maximus (turbot)
Lineage: Eukaryota; Metazoa; Chordata; Actinopteri; Pleuronectiformes; Scophthalmidae
Exons: 6
Source: RefSeq, a predicted model, not a curated record
AUCUUUACUGAAAACUGUUGUAAAGAAGCGCCCCAGCAUUUGAUGGACCAUUGUUUUGUUUUUUUUCCUCCUCACGUGGAUGUUGCGAUGGAAACCUGAGACUGACUGGAUGAAGGAAGACGUGUGAUCUGCUCAAGGUGAACGAGGCCUGAGUGAUAGACCCAGAACCUUUCAACUCACCCAGUUGCGCUGGUCAUUGGAAAUCACGAAUGAACGAUGCUCUUCUGCCACCCUGGUACUCCCCGGGACGUCGCCGUGUCAAUCACAGACUUCAAAUCCCGAGAUUUAUUCAGCCCCCCUCCCAUUUGUGAUGCAACCAAUGGAGAGAGUGCACCCCGAAGAAGGCGUCAGAAGUAAGUCGUCAUUGCAACAGGCCGAUUUCCUCCAACAUGGUUGCAGAGGAUUUGAGAGGAUUUGAGUUUUGUUGUCUCUGUGAAGAAUCCAGCGGGCUGUGUGCAAUGUUGGCUGCCGGAGGGUUUUGACAGCUCCAGCCAGUCUCCUGCACGGGGCUCGUGAAGCGUUUAGCCAUGUUUAGCCUCUGAUGAACAUGUUCCUCCUGCAUCGCAUCUAUCGACAGAAGUGACAUCUGGGCGACGAAGGUUUGAUUGGUCCCAGUGAUCUUGUGACUUUUUAAACUGGAACAACCCCCACGUACAGUUAGUCGUGAAUCAAUGGAACCCCCUGAUCGUCUGUCAGGGACAGCGAUGACGCUGGGGUGAGAUGCACAGUAACAGUCUUCACUGCAUGCUGCUGGUGCAUAUUAUAACAAUAUCAACUGGUACUUUACCUAUUUUGUCGCUCAGUUGUGGAAGAAAUUAAUUUAUAUAUAUAUAUAUAUAUAUAUAUAUAUAUAAAUCUGAAGUUUUAUAUAUAUAUGUAUAAAUCUGAACUUGACCAUAAGUAUCAUUCCAAAAAUGUUAAAUUUUUUCCUAAAAGUCACGUCAGUUCAUUAAUCACCAUGUGACUGGGGCCUCUUUUUUUUUUUACUAACUGUAAAACUGCCUUGUUUAAUAACAUGUCACUUUUCAUAACACUUUAUUCCUACAUUAUAUAUAAUUAUAACUUAAGGGCAGGAAAGACUAAUAUGGACAAGUUGAGAUACAGGGUUACAGUUUCACUUGUGACGUGUGAAAAUUACUAAAUUAAAUUGUAUCAAAUUGUUUAUAACUAUAUAUUUGUUCUUUUUAUUUCAUGCAAUUUUUGGCCCAGUUCAAUUUCUUCUCUCCUAAUUGGAUGCUGCUUUUCAUGACGUUGGCUGGUCACGAUGCAGUCUAAUUAAAAAGAACGAGACCUGAGAGGUCGUCAGCGGUGCGGUGACAGCUCUUCACACGCGACGCCGCCCCGCGGGAUCGAUCCGGUGGCCACGCACGCGGCCAUGCACUGUGACACUGGCCCAUCAUCGACCGUCAUCAGCCGAGGCCGACAAGACGAUACCCUAACUGGUCGCGUUCAAU